CAGUUGCUGUUUCACAGUGCAGGGUACCGGUAUGCAGGUGGGCGUCACCGGUACGCCCUUGUUCAACUGUCUAAACCCGAGAGCUGCUGUUCUCGGGUUGCUGCGGGGUACCGGUACACAUCGGGGCCGUCACUGGUACGCUGCUGCGCAGUGACCAAACCCGAGAGUUGCUACUCUCGGUCAGCAGUGUGGUAUCGAUACUGCUCCAAUGCUUUACC
RNAcentral lists this long non-coding RNA (218 nucleotides) under Ananas comosus (pineapple). Its description in RNAcentral is "long non-coding RNA (ACOM_LNC025952)". The record is from RNAcentral. Lineage: Eukaryota; Viridiplantae; Streptophyta; Magnoliopsida; Poales; Bromeliaceae.